Molecule: ribosomal RNA, 601 nt
Filed under: uncultured bacterium
Lineage: Bacteria
Description: bacterial SSU rRNA
Rfam family: Bacterial small subunit ribosomal RNA
Source: RNAcentral
GCCAAGCGAAAGUGAUAAGUAUCCCACCUGGGGAGUACGUUCGCAAGAAUGAAACUCAAAGGAAUUGACGGGGGCCCGCACAAGCGGUGGGGCAUGUGGUUUAAUUCGAUGAUACGCGAGGAACCUUACCAGGGCUUAAAUGCAGGCUGCAUAAGCUAGAGAUAGCUUUUUCUUCGGACUGCCUGCAAGGUGCUGCAUGGUUGUCGUCAGCUCGUGCCGUGAGGUGUCAGGUUAAGUCCUAUAACGAGCGCAACCCCUACCGUUAGUUGCCAGCAUGUCAAGAUGGGGACUCUAACGGGACUGCCGGUGCAAACCGCGAGGAAGGUGGGGACGACGUCAAAUCAUCACGGCCCUUACGUCCUGGGCUACACACGUGCUACAAUGGCCGGUACAGAGGGAAGCCACCCCGCGAGGGGGCGCGGAUCUACAAAACCGGUCACAGUUCGGAUCGGGGUCUGUAACUCGACCCCGUGAAGCUGGAAUCGCUAGUAAUCGGAUAUCAGCCAUGAUCCGGUGAAUACGUUCCCGGGCCUUGUACACACCGCCCGUCAAGCCAUGGAAGCCGGGAGUGCCUGAAGUCCUCACCGCAAGGAGCGGCCUA